CCCUAUGUUUUUUAUCAAAUAAAUGGCCAAGAUUUGCUAAGGUAGCGUAAUUUCUUGCAUUUUAAAUAGGUGAUUGUUGAAAGGGUUAACCGAAUUUUUUUUUUUUUUUCUUUUUUUUGAAUUUUAAUAUUUGUAAAAAUUCAGAUGAGUUAUAAAAGACGAGAAGACCCUAAAAAUUUUCCAAAUUUUGGUUGAGUGGGGUACUUAUUUUUUUUAUAAAAAUUUUAAGUAAAGAAAAAUAAAAAUUACUUUAGGGGUAACAGGGUGAUUUAAAAUAAAGGUCAUAUUAAAUUUUAGGUUUACUACCUCGAUGUUGAAUUAAGAAAUUUUUUGGUGCAUAAGAUAAAAAUAUA
RNAcentral lists this ribosomal RNA (353 nucleotides) under Paromalostomum massiliensis. Its description in RNAcentral is "partial 16S ribosomal RNA". The record is from RNAcentral. Lineage: Eukaryota; Metazoa; Platyhelminthes; Dolichomicrostomida; Dolichomacrostomidae.